CUAGUCAUAUGGAUUCGCCCGCCGCGCCCCGCGCCCGUCCCGCCGCCCCCGCCCGCUCCUACGGGAGGCAGCAGUGGGGAAUAUUGCACAAUGGGCGCAAGCCUGAUGCAGCCAUGCCGCGUGUAUGAAGAAGGCCUUCGGGUUGUAAAGUACUUUCAGCGGGGAGGAAGGGAGUAAAGUUAAUACCUUUACUCAUUGACGUUACCCGCAGAAGAAGCACCGGCUAACUCCGUGCCAGCAGCCGCGGUAAUACAAU
RNAcentral lists this ribosomal RNA (256 nucleotides) under uncultured organism. RNAcentral describes it as "partial 16S ribosomal RNA". It matches the Rfam family "Bacterial small subunit ribosomal RNA", at positions 304 to 529 of the family's 1533-position model. The record is from RNAcentral.